RNAcentral lists this unclassified non-coding RNA (89 nucleotides) under Pseudomonas sp. bs2935. Lineage: Bacteria; Pseudomonadati; Pseudomonadota; Gammaproteobacteria; Pseudomonadales; Pseudomonadaceae. The record is from RNAcentral.
UGUGGGAGCUGGCUUGCCUGCGAUGGCGAUGUGUCAGUGAGUACACGUUCGCCUGACACACUGCUAUCGCAGGCAAGCCAGCUCCCACA